AGGUGCAGGAUUCCUCAGAACCUUUAAGAAGCUAACAGGCAACAUGGCUCUUCAGAAAUGGGAUAUGGUUUGAAAUAUCUAAUAAUAAAGCUGAAAGAAAAAUGCAAUAAAUGGAAUGUGUUGGCUAUAUUCUGACUUUAGAAUCAUCUCAACUCAGCAGCUCAGUAAUAUCCCCAGGAAUUGUUUUAUCUUUGAGUUGGAUCUGUCUUCCUUUGGAUUGUAGCUUCCCCUUAAAAUGUUCUUCCUGGUCUCAAGAUAACUACCAGCAUCUCCUAGAUUUUAUGUAGCCUAAUUCAUUACAAAUAAAAAGAUCAUCAUUUCCCUCAGAACUGUCCAGAAUUAAUGAGAAUGGGCUCCAGGGUAGAAGAGAUUGAGGUGGUAAGUGGAAGAUUUUCCACAUGACCUUGUAUUCAGGUAACCAAAUGAACUAUUAAGUAAGCAAUC
Molecule: long non-coding RNA, 444 nt
Filed under: Homo sapiens (human)
Lineage: Eukaryota; Metazoa; Chordata; Mammalia; Primates; Hominidae
Description: PREDICTED lncRNA (TCONS_00265968)
Source: RNAcentral